RNAcentral lists this transfer RNA (75 nucleotides) under Thermoplasmata archaeon. RNAcentral describes it as "tRNA-Arg". It matches the Rfam family "tRNA". Rfam says of the family: Transfer RNA (tRNA) molecules are approximately 80 nucleotides in length. Their secondary structure includes four short double-helical elements and three loops (D, anti-codon, and T loops). The record is from RNAcentral. Lineage: Archaea; Methanobacteriati; Thermoplasmatota; Thermoplasmata. RNAcentral also lists the same sequence under 2 other names.
GGACCCGUAGCCUAGCCAGGAUAUGGCGGCAGCCUCCUAAGCUGCAGGUCGCGGGUUCGAAUCCCGCCGGGUCCG